RNAcentral lists this ribosomal RNA (497 nucleotides) under uncultured bacterium. Its description in RNAcentral is "partial 16S ribosomal RNA". It matches the Rfam family "Bacterial small subunit ribosomal RNA", at positions 28 to 507 of the family's 1533-position model. The record is from RNAcentral.
GAUGUACGCUGGCGGCGUGCCUAAUACAUGCGAGUCGAGCGAACGGACGAGAAGCUUGCUUCUCUGAUGUUAGCGGCGGACGGGUGAGUAACACGUGGAUAACCUACCUAUAAGACUGGGAUAACUUCGGGAAACCGGAGCUAAUACCGGAUAAUAUUUUGAACCGCAUGGUUCAAAAGUGAAAGACGGUCUUGCUGUCACUUAUAGAUGGAUCCGCGCUGCAUUAGCUAGUUGGUAAGGUAACGGCUUACCAAGGCAACGAUGCAUAGCCGACCUGAGAGGGUGAUCGGCCACACUGGAACUGAGACACGGUCCAGACUCCUACGGGAGGCAGCAGUAGGGAAUCUUCCGCAAUGGGCGAAAGCCUGACGGAGCAACGCCGCGUGAGUGAUGAAGGUCUUCGGAUCGUAAAACUCUGUUAUUAGGGAAGAACAUAUGUGUAAGUAACUGUGCACAUCUUGACGGUACCUAAUCAGAAAGCCACGGCUAACUACGUG